UCCCUGGUAGUAUAUCGGUUAAUACCCCCGCGUUCCUGUAAUGGAUAAGUUUAGGUCCUUUAGGUUUUCGCGCGAAAGCUGGGUUCGACUCCCAGCCAGGGAG
Rhodocollybia butyracea is the source of this 103-nucleotide non-coding RNA. The record is from the annotation of a GenBank genome assembly. NCBI's taxonomy places the organism in Eukaryota, Fungi, Basidiomycota, Agaricomycetes, Agaricales, Omphalotaceae.